GGCCUAACACAUGCAAGUCGAACGGUAACAGGAAGCAGCUUGCUGCUUCGCUGACGAGUGGCGGACGGGUGAGUAAUGUCUGGGAAACUGCCUGAUGGAGGGGGAUAACUACUGGAAACGGUAGCUAAUACCGCAUAACGUCGCAAGACCAAAGAGGGGGACCUUCGGGCCUCUUGCCAUCGGAUGUGCCCAGAUGGGAUUAGCUAGUAGGUGGGGUAACGGCUCACCUAGGCGACGAUCCCUAGCUGGUCUGAGAGGAUGACCAGCCACACUGGAACUGAGACACGGUCCAGACUCCUACGGGAGGCAGCAGUGGGGAAUAUUGCACAAUGGGCGCAAGCCUGAUGCAGCCAUGCCGCGUGUAUGAAGAAGGCCUUCGGGUUGUAAAGUACUUUCAGCGGGGAGGAAGGGAGUAAAGUUAAUACCUUUGCUCAUUGACGUUACCCGCAGAAGAAGCACCGGCUAACUCCGUGCCAGCAGCCGCGGUAAUACGGAGGGUGCAAGCGUUAAUCGGAAUUACUG
Molecule: ribosomal RNA, 522 nt
Filed under: Escherichia coli
Lineage: Bacteria; Pseudomonadati; Pseudomonadota; Gammaproteobacteria; Enterobacterales; Enterobacteriaceae
Description: bacterial SSU rRNA
Rfam family: Bacterial small subunit ribosomal RNA
Source: RNAcentral